This is a long non-coding RNA of Bufo gargarizans (Asiatic toad), 1178 nucleotides long. RefSeq lists it as uncharacterized. The record is from RefSeq and is a predicted model, not a curated record. NCBI's taxonomy places the organism in Eukaryota, Metazoa, Chordata, Amphibia, Anura, Bufonidae. The transcript has 3 exons.
GAGGAGCAGGCCGAGGAGGAGCAGCCUGGACCCUCCUCUGAUCGAGGACCAUCACAGCAAGGGGAUUCCUCCCCCCCACCUCCAGAAGAGGGGGACAAGGAGGUCUACACCCCCAACCAGGAGGGUGUUCCUGUUCCUUCUGUACAAGCGGGUGAGGAGGAAGAGUUGGAGGACCAGGCAGAGGAGGAGCAGCCUGGACCCUCCUCUGAUCGAGGACCAUCACAGCAAGGGGAUUCCUCUCACCCACCUCCAGAAGGGGGGGAGAAGGAGGUGUACACUCCCCAUCAGGAGGAAAUUUUAACCCUCACUUGAUCGGAUGAGGAUCCCUGAACCAAACCUCUUUGAAGGUGGUGACGUCCAGCAAUAACAUCGGUGUUCCUUCGUUGCGCAACUCCAGACAUGUAAAUUUUGUGUAGUGCUUUCCUUAGAAAUUUGAGGGAGAAUCCCCCCUAUGGCUGCAUUAUUACCGGCAAUUAGGUUGACAAUGCCAGCGGGGUUCAUAGAUGUGUCCCCUUCUGACAUAUGCGACCUAUUGGGUUGGGGUCCAUCUCGGCAGAGUUGGAGCUCUCCCCAUAUGCUGGACAACGUAGGAGUUACCUACCGCGGCUUGAUAUAUCGUUAAGGAGGCAUUCUGCACAAUUAAUAUAUCCAUAAUAAGUACUAAUGGAACCAUAGGGCAGUUUUGCCUUCAAGUAAAAUGGCGGUUUCAGUACAACUGUGAAGAGCGCAUGCGUCACAUGAUAGUGCUGACACACAUGACGACGCUCGUCUGGACAUGCGCAAUGAACUGUUGGAGACGCUCAAUGGAGCGCGACGGUCUCGACUGGCGCCAUGACUUUUAGAGGUGCGAUCUCCGUGAUUUUCAUCCAUUACACUAAGUCACUUUUAUUAUAAUCUUACUAAAGAUGUUCUAUAUAUGUAUUGGAAGUCUUGUAUACUAUAUGGUUAUUUGAUCUACAAACAGGUAAAUAGUUCUUGUAUUGUGGAUCUCAUGGCACAUGUCACUUUAUGUACAUGCACUUUGUUAAUUUUUUUUUUUCACAUGUAUUAGAUGUAUUUAAUUUAAUCAUGAUUGUAACCACACCGUGAUUGGUUGGUCACUUAGGAUAUCUCUUUUUAUGCCCUUAUUUUCACUGUUUCUAUGCUUGAGGAAGGCUCUUGUGAGCCGAAACGUCGCA